RNAcentral lists this ribosomal RNA (372 nucleotides) under uncultured organism. Its description in RNAcentral is "partial 16S ribosomal RNA". It matches the Rfam family "Bacterial small subunit ribosomal RNA", at positions 527 to 896 of the family's 1533-position model. The record is from RNAcentral.
GUAGGUGGCAAGCGUUGUCCGGAAUUAUUGGGCGUAAAGCGCGCGCAGGCGGUUCUUUAAGUCUGAUGUGAAAGCCCACGGCUCAACCGUGGAGGGUCAUUGGAAACUGGAGAACUUGAGUACAGAAGAGGAAAGCGGAAUUCCACGUGUAGCGGUGAAAUGCGUAGAGAUGUGGAGGAACACCAGUGGCGAAGGCGGCUUUCUGGUCUGUAACUGACGCUGAGGCGCGAAAGCGUGGGGGAGCAAACAGGAUUAGAUACCCUGGUAGUCCACGCCGUAAACCGAUGAGUGCUAAGUGUUAGGGGGUUUCCGCCCCUUAGUGCUGCAGCUAACGCAUUAAGCACUCCGCCUGGGAGUACGGCCGCAAGGCUG